Pantherophis guttatus is the source of this 962-nucleotide non-coding RNA. The record is from RefSeq and is a predicted model, not a curated record. Lineage: Eukaryota; Metazoa; Chordata; Lepidosauria; Squamata; Colubridae.
AAAACAAAACGAAGAAAGUCCGGUUGCUUUUUCAAAAAGGACCUUUGGGGCAACCGUGACCUGGAGGACUGAGAAUUCACCAUAGACCUGAAUCCAGUUGUUGCGGGUUUUUAAUAAAGCCUGUCCUGUUGUGUUUUGCAUAGCACCGAUUAUAAAUGAGUCCGCUGCUAAAUUUAAGAUAAAUUAAUAUUUCCUGAUGCAGGUAAGCGGCUGUGUUUUGUAUCUAUGAAACUCAACCAGCAGGGCCCAAGGAAAGAUAGGGGAGUUGUAGUCCAAAACAUCUGGAGGAUACCAGGUUGCCGCUUCUAGCCAUAAAUAAAUUUGAAUCCCUCAAAUUCCCAUGUAUUACUUAUUCAAGAGGUGAGACGCAGAGGUACUUUGCUGGUGAAGGGUGAAGAGAUUAAAAAUUAAGUUUUUAAAACUUUGUGAAUGAUAUAGUACAGUAAAGAAGUCUGUAAAUGAAGAUAUGUCUUGGAGAAAAGGGCAAAAGUAUCUGCUGGGGACAAAUGAAAGUAUUUUCUCAUUAUAACCUCUGCCCUUUUGUACAUACAUAGUGAGGUUGUUAUCAGUAUAUAAAGGCAAAAUAAAGAUGGCUACGUUGAUUCCGUGGAUACUUCUGGAAAAUGAGAGCUUUAUGCUCCUUGACAAAAUCAUCAAAGGACUCAAGCCUUUUCAGUCUGGGCCCAAGAAACAACCACCAAGCAAAUCCCAAUACUACGCAUGUUAUGGAUUCCACAUAAUAACCAUCCAGAGUAAUAGCACAAGAUCCACCUUCUUUUGAGCAAAGCUGUAAUACAGAAAAUCAGAAGAGAGGAAGGGGGGUGGGAUAGGGAACAAGUGGUAAGUAUAUCAGGCAAAUUGCUUUUGACAUUUGUAACACAUUUAAACAUUUUUCUGAAUGUGUAACUUCCAUUACUUUAAUGUGCAUCAUUUAAAAAGUACAUUAAAUAUUUAAAAAUGGA